RNAcentral lists this long non-coding RNA (646 nucleotides) under Ficedula albicollis (Collared flycatcher). RNAcentral's name for it is "lncRNA (ENSFALG00000018246.2)". The record is from RNAcentral. Lineage: Eukaryota; Metazoa; Chordata; Aves; Passeriformes; Muscicapidae.
GCUGCACUAUUGGUACCAUUUUUGUGCUGUUCACUACCAUGAGAAGCCUGGCUCCCACAAGAGGUUAACAUUAUGCAAGAUUUCAACCAGCAAGAGGAACGUGCCUAGUAGUGACCUGUUACCUGCUGAUGACCUUUAAAUCUACCAGAGGACCCCAGGGGAUGGUCGGUACAUGACUGAAAGCUAAAGCUCAGAUUCUAUUGACAUAUCUGCAUGGAAUUGCUGGAUUCCACAGGGAUCAAGACAACCCUUGUGAGACAGCAAACCAGCUGCAGGACUCCUCUAGGCUUUCCCCUCAUAAUCCAGUAGGAUGAAAGAAUGCACAGACACAGCAAGCAGGCAUGGAUCUGGACUACAGAGCAGUUACAGAGGGCAGUUAGAAGACAAAAGGAUGGAGAGGAACCUCAGAGACAUCUCAACAGGAGAUGGGAUAAUCAAGUGUGCUGCUGAGCAGGGAACUGAGGUUAUCCUGAGAAAGGUGGAGAGGAACCUCAGAGACAUCUCAAUAGGAGAUGGGAUAAUCAAGUGUGCUCCUGAGCAGGGAACUGAGGUUAUCCUGAGAAAAUAUUGCAAGCAAUCUUGCCCUGAACUACAGAAUGGCUACUUAAAAGUAAAUAUUAUCAGAUCAGCUGCUAAGUACCAGUAA